This 273-nucleotide ribosomal RNA is filed under the name uncultured bacterium. Its description in RNAcentral is "partial 16S ribosomal RNA". It matches the Rfam family "Bacterial small subunit ribosomal RNA", at positions 523 to 796 of the family's 1533-position model. The record is from RNAcentral.
AUACGGAGGGUGCAAGCGUUAUUCGGAAUCACUGGGCGUAAAGGACGCGUAGGCGGGUUGGCAAGUCAGAUGGGAAAUCCUACAGCUUAACUGUAGAACUGCAUUUGAAACUGCUAACCUAGAGUAUGGGAGGGGGAGAUGGAAUUAGUGGUGUAGGGGUAAAAUCCGUAGAUAUCACUAGGAUACCGAAAGCGAAGGCGAUCUCCUGGAACAUAACUGACGCUAAGGCGUGAAAGCGUGGGGAGCAAACAGGAUUAGAAACCCCAGUAGUCC